CCCAGGAACUUCCACAUGCUAUGGGCAUGCCCCCCCCACCAAAAACAAGAAAAAGAAAAUUGUUUAAAGUUUUCCUUUUGAAAUUAGGAAUAAGGAGUGAAUUCCCCUUGUGGCUCAGCAGAUUAUGAAAUCUGACUAGUAUCCAUGAGGCUGUGGGUUCCAUCUCUGGCCUUGCUCAGUGGGUUAUGGAUCUGGUGUUUCUGUGGCUGUGGCACAGGUGCUGGCAGGUGCAGCUUUUAUUUGACCCUUGGCCUGGGAACUUCCAUAUGCUCCAGGCAUGGCCCUGAAAAGCGUUAUGGAUGACAUUUGACCCUUGGGACAGAAAGAAAGAAAGAAAGAGAGAGAGAAAGAGAGAAAGAAAGAAAGAGAAAAAGAAAUUAGGAGAAUUUAGGAGUGAGGAAAGAUACCCACUGGAAGCUUAAGAAGUUAGAAUCUGAGGUGGCAUUUCUGAUAAGCAUUUGUAGUUCCAAGGAGGGCAGAGCUGAGGUGUGCCAUUGCAACAGGUAGCUGAAAAAGAAAGGAGGUAAGCCUGUGGGAGUUAGGUGUGAAGCAACCUUGGGCUGGAGUUUUAUGGGGAUUAUUCACAUGGGCACUGACGUCACUAGGGAUGAUAGGAUGGAAGAUGAAACCCGUGCCAAAGCCUUCAGGGAACCCAGAAGAAAGACCAGGAUUCGAGCAGAUGGCAUAGACGGUGAGGGGUAAAAAGUAAUACAACCAAAUGGCGAACUGUCAAAGAGCAUGACGAGUUUUAUCCUCGAGUGAAAGUGUGACUUGGAAAAGCCAGUGGGUAACAAGAACCAACAGGACACUGAUCUCAAGUCCUUGGUCCAUGAGGUUUGCUUAAAUAAACCUCCUGCACCCACUGCAGCUCGGAAGGGAGCCUUCAUUAACAAGGAGGUAGGAGUUCCCACUGUGGCACUACGGGAUCGGGGGCAUCGUUGCAGCACCAGGACACCAGGUUUGAUUCCAGACUCAACACAGUGGGUUAAAAGGAUCUGGCUUUGCAACAGAAGCGCAGAUCUGAUCCCUAGCCCGGGAAUGACAUGUGCCACAGAGUGGCCAAAACGAAAUGAAACAGAGCAGAACAGAACAAGGAGGUCAAGAGCUUUGCAUCAGAUAGUGUCUGGCUCACAGGGGAUGUUCAGUGAGUCACAGCUAAAAGGCUCUGCGGAAAGGGGACAGGGGUCGUGAUGAAAAUACACCGGUAGGAGAAUGGGAAUAGAGUUGAAUGCAGGUGAGCAUGACAGGGAUGCGAUGUGCCGUGAAAUCUUCUAGUCUAAUAUCAGUUCCUAGCAGGUUCUAGCUCUUUCGAAGUAGUGUCUGGAAGAGUGACACUGGGGUCAGAUUCUCUCCAAGAAGCUUGUGGGGGGCCUGUAUGUUUGGUAGUUAACUGGGUUCUGUCGUUAACUACAUUAACGAUGUCCUUCGGAGUUCCCAUCGUGGCGCAGUGGUUAACGAAUCCGACUAGGAACCACGAGGUUGCGGGUUCGAUCCCUGCCCUUGCUCAGUGGGUUAACGAUCCGGCGUUGCCGUGAGCUGUGGUGUGGGUCCCAGACACGGCUCAGAUCCCGAGUUGCUGUGUCUCUGGUGUAGGCCGGUGGCUACAGCUCCAAUUCGACCCCUAGCCUGGGAACCUCCAUAUGCCACAGGAGCGGCUCAAGAAAAAGGCAAAAAGACCAAAAAAAAAAAAAAAAAAAAAAAAAAAGCCAAUAUCCUGACUGAGGCCCCACAAUUUCCAUCCUGGACUACAAUCUCCCAGCUGUUUUUCCAGCCUCCACAUCAUUUCUUUUUUUAUACACAUAUAUAUUUUUUUUGCCCAUGCGCAUGGCCUGUGAAUAUUCCCUGGGCCAGGGAUCAAACCCGCACACAUUAGUAACCAGAGCCACAGUAUGGAGGACACCAGGUCCUUAACCUGCUGAGUCACCAGGGAACUCCCUCCAUGUCGUUUCUCAUUUACUACUUCAAAGGUAAUCUUCCGUCAUUGCCCUUCUCAAAACUCGUCAGUGAAAACAACAAGAAAAAAACCUCGUCAGUGCCUCCCGACUGAAGUUAAAUCUGGAGUUCCCGUUGUGGCUCAGCAGGUGCAGAAGCUGUCUAGUAUCAUGAGGAUGUGGGUUCAAUCCCUGGCCGUGUUCAGUGGGUUAACGAUUCCGGUCACAGAUGCAGCUUGGAUCCUGCGUGGCUGUGGCUGUGGUGUAGGCGGGCACCUGCAGCUCCAGUUGACCCCUAGCCUGGGAGCUGCAUAUGCCACAGUCGGGGGGCGGGGGUGUAAAAAGGUAAAAAGUAAAUCUCCUCGCUUCAGGGUCAAGGCUUUCUUGGUGCUCUCCGGUUGUACAGCAGGUUAAGGAUCCGGCAUUAUCACUGCGGGCUGCUCUGGGACGGUUUGAUCCUUGGCCUGGGGAAGUUCAAAAAAAAAAGGGCAAGACCGUGUGCUUCUAUAAUACACUGAUGAUAGUUUUAUCCGUGUCUCUUACCGUGUCCCCAGUUCCCACUCCCUGCUCCUCAAAUCAGUGUCUGAUGUGGUUUCUUCCCGGCCUUCAUUCUUGCCCUUCAUCCCCCUGCAGUGCCCUCUGACCGUGACUUGUCCAGACCCCAUGCUUCUAGUCAGCUUCGCUCUGUACACCUGCAGGCUUAUGAGGCCCUUGUCCCUCCCACACACCCAGUGUGUCUCCACCGCCACACACAGGCACCAUCCGGUCAGAGCAAACUGGCCGCAGCUAGAGGCCUGCUAGGGCCCUGCGGGCGGGAACUCCUCCCUGUGCUGCUGGACUCGGGCCGUCUGUGGGUUCGGGACAAGGAGCCGGGCGGCUGGGGAGGAAAGGAUAGGGCGGGGCUCAGAGCCGCAGGACAUCCAGGUUCUCGCGGUGGCGGGCGUGGUGGCUGCCCAGGCACCCUCAUGCAGGCCUCCCCUGACCGCACGUUGGACUUCUCCCGCAGCAUCCCACCCACCCCACUCUGUAUGGCCUGGGGUACCCUCAUCCCGCCCCGUCACCAACCUGCAACGAGAAGACCGAUCCUUUCACGAUGGUCUCACGCACCGCUGACCCCGCCGUGAGGCCAGCGUCAUCACGGACCCUCAACAAGUGUUUGCCCCUUUGAAACCAACAAGGGGAAAUUAACCUUCCUUCGCAUAUCAACAAAGUGGGUUCCUGAGGAAAAAGGAAGCGUCAGUCAAUUUCAGGAACGCCUGCUCUGUACCGCGAUGUACCACGUAAUGAAAUGGGACUUGGUUUUAUGCUGGCAGUAAACCCAGGAGGUUGGUUUUCUUAUUCCCAUUUUGUAGAUGCGUCAAUCAAGGCUUAGACUCCUUCCACUGGUCCAGGACCACCCAGCUGGAAGUGGCAGAGGGGAGACUGCCAUCCUGUGUGUCCCAUGCUGUGCUCCUUGUCGCCUUUUCAAAGCUCGUGCGUGUCUCUCACGCAGGCGACUGCUUUGUUUGUUCUGUGGUUCAAAUCAGAGAUUCUGUGGAACUUUCAUGAUUAAUCUAGAGGCUCUUUUCAAAACAUGCUCACCCCAGGUGCAACUUUAUCCCCCGGAGGAAAAGCACACGCUGGGCUGGUCACCUGCGCAAGACACAGUAGCGGGUCCCUUGGUUUCGGCCCCUUGGCUUAUUUUACCACCAUUUCUUUUCCACCAACUCAGUUACAUUUGAUAGAGUUCUUUUGAGAGAGAUCUCCUUCUGAAUCUUUGCAGAAGGAAGAAGUUCAGCACAAAAAGUAUAAAGGGAAACCAUUUUAAUUUUUUAAUUCAUGCCAUUAUUAGCUCCUCUUGCAUCAGCUUCUUCUAAUUAUGCAGAAGUGCAUACAUCUGACAGAGUGCCUGGCCCUGACUCAUGACUUACUAAUGAGAUCAUAUUUUUCAUUACAAUUCCAAAAUCCCAUCAAUCUUUUCCUAAUUAUUUUUAAGUGAAUUUGCUGCUUUAGAAAGGAAAGGGCGCAUGUGGCACCAGCAGGAACUAGGAAAGUUUCAUGCGAUUUCAAUUUCAGGAACUUUGUUGGCAAGAUGGCCUAUAACUGUUGCCAAUGUUAAUAAAUCAAAUUUUGAUGUCUAGGAACGGGUUUUAAGCUAUGCCUCCCCGCCCCAUAUACCAGCACUCACUCUCAGAUUCAGUGAAUCAGACCUCCAAGCAUCGCCACAGCAAAGCUCCUUCCAGAUAGUGCUGCCAACACAUAUUAUAGUCAUGGGUAUAGCCAGGGCACCAUUCGAAAUGUUGGAAAACGGAUACUAGCUCUUUCGCUGGAACAGGAUGCUGGACACCAGCUCUGCCACACGGAACUCUUUAGCAGCUGGACUUCAAGAAGCUCCCAGAGGGGCCUAGAGGGGGGGCCAGAGCAGAUUUCACACGCCGUGUGGUACAGGCGCUGACCAGUAUCGGCCAGAGCGGCCCAGGCGACUUAGCAGGGGCCACUUUGUCACCUGUAAGUUGACAGUGUAAGUUGGUCAUGGGCGCCCUGUCCUUAGGCAGUGUGUUUGGCCGAUAGUCGCUAGUCAGAGGUUUAUGUAACGAGGGGACCCGGCUGACCGGGGAAUUUCCUCGCCCUUGCCUGGGCUCACCUUUGUUCUCCACGUUAACUUUCCCAUGUUCCCCAUGAAAUGAAGACCCCCCAAAAUGAAACUCCAGCUGCCUGAUUGCAAAUUUAAAAGGUCUAAUUUUUCAAAAUGUUUUUCAUGUGAAGCAGAUGUUUAAUGUCAGUGGCAUGUGAUUUAGCUCUUGGAGGUGCCCAGAACCCCUGGAAAAGGUGACUGAAGGAACAAGGGCUGGGUCUGGGGAGGAACUCACUGUCCUGAGUUCCGGGGAGGCUGGUGCGGCUGGUUUGGGUGGAGAGGAGUCCCCCCACCCCCCGCCGUGCACUGAUUCUGCCCAAAGGCAGAAAGCCCCCCAGUCCCCGAUCUGUGGCUCUGCGUUCCUCUGCUCCGACAGCAAUCGUUUGCCUUUAAGUGUUAGUCUUACUCAUUAAACUGGCACUGAGCAGUUGGCCUCAUUCACACCCCACUCCACACUCGAUACUCUUUUCUGAAAUGUCCUAAGGGUUCCCGUCAGGGCUCAACAGAAACAAAUCCGACUAGGAACCAUGAGGACCCAGGUUCCAUCCCUGGCCUCGCUUGGGUUAAGGAUCGGGUGUUGCUGUGGCUGUGGUGUAGGCCAGCAGCUGUAGCUCUGAUUCAACCUCUAGGCUGGGAACCUCCUUAUGCCACGGGUAUGGCCCUAAAAAGCAACAAAAAAAAAGAAAAAAAA
RNAcentral lists this long non-coding RNA (5236 nucleotides) under Sus scrofa (pig). RNAcentral's name for it is "lncRNA (ENSSSCG00015060013.1)". Lineage: Eukaryota; Metazoa; Chordata; Mammalia; Artiodactyla; Suidae. The record is from RNAcentral.